Molecule: transfer RNA, 74 nt
Filed under: Elusimicrobiota bacterium
Lineage: Bacteria; Pseudomonadati; Elusimicrobiota
Description: Elusimicrobia bacterium (aquatic metagenome) tRNA-Arg
Rfam family: tRNA
About the family: Transfer RNA (tRNA) molecules are approximately 80 nucleotides in length. Their secondary structure includes four short double-helical elements and three loops (D, anti-codon, and T loops).
Source: RNAcentral
GCGCCUGUAGCUCAAAUGGAUAGAGCAUCUGCCUUCUAAGCAGGUGGUUGUGCGUUCGAGUCGCACCAGGCCCA